GGGAGAGAUGGCUGAGUGGUUGAUAGCCCCGUCUUGAAAACCGGUAUAGUUCUUAAAACUACCGAGGGUUCGAUCCCCCCUAUCU
This 85-nucleotide transfer RNA is filed under the name Bulbophyllum atropurpureum. RNAcentral's name for it is "partial tRNA-Ser". It matches the Rfam family "tRNA". Rfam says of the family: Transfer RNA (tRNA) molecules are approximately 80 nucleotides in length. Their secondary structure includes four short double-helical elements and three loops (D, anti-codon, and T loops). The record is from RNAcentral. Lineage: Eukaryota; Viridiplantae; Streptophyta; Magnoliopsida; Asparagales; Orchidaceae.